This 3380-nucleotide long non-coding RNA is filed under the name Sus scrofa (pig). RNAcentral describes it as "lncRNA (ENSSSCG00040041275.1)". Lineage: Eukaryota; Metazoa; Chordata; Mammalia; Artiodactyla; Suidae. The record is from RNAcentral.
GUCAGUCUGCUGUGAUAAACUUGACCAGCGAGAGCAUUGAUCUAGGAUACGCUUUAUCUUGGAAGUUACAGAAACUUCCAAAGAGCAGCCAGGGGACCGAGGAGCCCCGAGCUGGGCUCUCCGUUGCGCCUGGUAUACACAGUGCUGCCUCCGCUUCUCGGAGUUUAUGAUGUUUAUGAAGAUCCCCAACAGCUGGCUUCAAACCCAGCCCCUCCGAGAACCGUUUCCAGGACUCUGAAGCCCGCAUUUCAGCUUCAGGAACGGCGAGACAGCUGGCUGUCCGUGUCGGUUUGGGUGGAAUCGGUGUAGAGGUGGUGGUACCCAAACCAGCUCAGUGCCGGUGAUUGCCAAGCAGCAUCUUUUGAAGGCACACUGUGUGCAUCGCCAUCAAGCGCUGAGCAACAGCAAGCUGCGGAUGCUCGUCGGCGAGAGCUGGAGGAGGAUCAGCCCUAAGUUGUAAUCUCAGGGUGGACAUUGACAUCAUCCUCUUGGAUGGGAGCAGGUAGAGGAGAUGCCUGCUUUCAUUCCUCUUGGACAAUGCUUAGGGGUGCAACUGCUGGCCAUAUGGUAAGUUUACUUUAACUUUUUAAGAUCUCAUCAAAUUGCUUUCCAAUGGGGUUGUACCAUUCUAUAUUUCGCCAGUAAUGUAUGAGCAUUCCAGUGUUUCCACAUCCUUGCCAGCACUUGUUAUUAUCUGUCUUUUAGAUUCCAACCGUCCUACUGGGUAUGAAAUGGUAUCUUGUUAUGAUUUAUAUUUCCUAAUGAGUAAUGAUGUUGAACAUUUUCUCAUGUGCUUAUUGGUCAUUUGUUUGUUUUCUUUGGAUGAAUGUCUAUUCAAAUACUUGCCCAUUUUUUUAAGUUGGGUUGUUCGUCUAGUUACUACUGAGUUGUAAACUUUUCUACAUUCCUGAUCGAGAUGCCUUAUCAGAUACAUGAUUUACAAUUUUCUCCCAUUAUGUGCAUGUCUUCUCACUUUUUGGAUGGUGUCUUUUGACUUAGAAAAGUUUUAAAUUUAAAUUUAAAAUUUUACUGAUUUUUAACAAUUUACAUUUAAAAAUUUUGAAUUUAAAUUUUACUGAUGAAGUUUAAACUUUACAAUUUUACUAAUUUUUCUUCUUUCAUUGCUUGUGAUUUUGUGUUGUAGCUAAGAAAUCAUUGCCCUGCCAAAGAUCAUGAAGAUUUUUCUGUGGUGAUUUUCUUUCCUUUGUAGUUUUAGAUCUGACACUUUGGUCUUUGCUCAGUUUUGAGUCUGUAUUUGUGAAUGGUGUGGGGUAAGUGUUCAAAUUAAUCUUUCUGGAGGUGCCUAUUUCAGUGUACCAGUAACAUUUGCUGAGAGAAUUUAUUCCUUAUUGACUUUUCUUGGUAAUUUUGUUGAAAAUAGGUUGACUGCAAAUGUAGGGGUUUGUUUUUGGGCCCUCAAUUCCAUUGAGUUAUAUGUCUCUUCUUAUGCCAGGACCUCACUGACCACAGAGUUUAUAUGGUUUGUCCAAGGUCACAGAGCCAGUAAAUGACGCCAGCCGACUAGUCCCUUUAAUGACACAUGCUAUGGUUAUAAAGAAAAUCAGACAAAUAUGCUAGACUGAUACUGGUUAAGUGUGUUUAAAUGACGUUUUGGAGACUGAUGAUCCCACUCUGAUCUGAAUGUGCACAAGCCGUCUGGAGCAACUAACUUUUUGAGAAGCAGUGGAAGGCCCUAAGAGCAGGAUAUUUGUUUCUCUUAUUAAAGAAGAGUGGGAGUUUGCCAAUACCUGGCAGGGGCAAGGAGAGGUCCAGCGUUUCACGGGAGAGGAGCUGCACAGACAAGGGCAGAGAGAUGCAGAAAUCACCAUCACCUUCAAAGAGCAGUGAGAAGUCCUGAGCAAAGCUGUGCAGGGUUGGAUGGGCGAGGAGUGGGCAGCUGUGCUCUAGAGGCUGAGUGGAGCCAGGAGCCAGGCUCUCAAGGGCCCAGACCAAGAUUUCAGAACCAGAGCACCAUUUUCGAGCGCGAUCCGUUUCGACUGAACAGCACUGUCCCAAGACAGUGGCCAGGAGACUAAUCUGGCAACAGCAGGGAAGGAGGUAGGAGGCGGGGGCAAGGUGACUCUAAUUUGUUACUUUGACUACAAGUGAACUGGAGGCAAUAGAAUGUUCCUGUUUUGGGGACAUGAUGAAGCAGAUUGUGUACAGGACUUAGAGGUGGGCCCAGUGCGCUUCCUUUCCUAACUUCACUGAGCACUGGAUGUGUAUCUGGACUAAUUGCAUUCUCUCCCUGAAGGUGGUUUUUUGGAACAGUGAUAAAGUACCUGGCUCUUAGGAGAGGCUCAGUGUAAGGUAGCUGUAUGACAUUAUCUUCAAAUACCUCCUGUUUACCUGGAUUGAAAAUAUGUGAGGUGUGUGUGCACAUGUGUUUGUUUUAAUAGUUUUAUUGGACUGUAAUUUCAGCAUCAUAAAAUUCACCCAUUAUAAGUGUUCAGUUUAAUUAUUUUAGUAAAUUUAUAGAGUUGGGCAACCAUCAGCGCAAUCCACUUUUAGAACAUUUCCAUUACGCUAAGAAGUUCACUCGUGUCUGUUUGCAGGUAACUUCUGCCUCCACUUCUAGCCAUAAGCAGCCAUGAUCUAUUUGCUAUCUGUACAAAUUUGCCUUUCAUAGACAUUUCUUACAGAUGGAAUGGGUAAUCAUUCUAGACAUUUUAUGUAAAUAAUAUGUACAGUCUUUUGCAUCUGGCUUCUUAAACUUAGCUUAAUAUUAUUAAGGUUCUUAACCUGUCUAUAAUCAUCAUAGAUUGUUGCUUUUCGCUGCCGAGUGGUAUUCCAUCUUGUGGAUAGAUGACAUUUUAUAAAUGCAUUCCCCAGUUGAUGGGCAUUUGCACAUAAAGUGUUUUUUUUUUUUUUACACAACGUGGUGGGUUUGCUACUUGAUUGAAACUAUCAGAACUUUCAGAUUAACUAAGACUUAUUUUCCUUUGAUUAAAUAUUUUGUAGAAAGUGAAUAACCAUGCAGCAAAGACCAUAUCAAUGAUAUAAAGGGGGGAGUUUGUUGUAUAUUGUAUCUAGCAAUCUUUUUGUCUGUCCGUCUAUCUCUAUCUAUCUAUCUAUCUAUCCAUCUAUCUAUCUAUCUAUCAUCAAUAUAGCUAUCAAAAAAUCAUCAGUGUCUAUUUUAGCCUUGAAGAGCAAAGGAGGAGGGAGUUUCCAUUGUGGCUCAGUGGUUAUGAACCUGACUAGUAUCCAUGAUCAUGUAGGUUUGAUCCCUGGCCUUGAUCAGUAGGUUAAGGAUCCGGCAUUGCUGUGGUUGUGGUGUAGGCUGGCAGCUACAGCUCUGAUUCGACCCCUAGCCUAGGAACUUCCGUAUGCUGCUGGUACGGCCCUAAAAAAAGACAAAAAAAAAAAAAAAAAAAAAAAAA